Molecule: ribosomal RNA, 520 nt
Filed under: uncultured bacterium
Lineage: Bacteria
Description: bacterial SSU rRNA
Rfam family: Bacterial small subunit ribosomal RNA
Source: RNAcentral
AACGAACGCUGGCGGCGUGGAUAAGACAUGCAAGUCGGACGGGAUUACUUUUGGUAGCAAUACCGAAAGUGAUCCAGUGGCGAACGGGUGCGUAACACGUGGGCAAUCUACCGAGAAGUGGGGGAUAGCUCGCCGAAAGGCGAAUUAAUACCGCAUGUGAUCAGAGGCGACAUCGCUUCGAAAUCAAAGGUGGCGCAAGCUACCGCUUUUUGAGGAGCCCGCGGCCUAUCAGCUUGUUGGUGAGGUAACGGCUCACCAAGGCAUUGACGGGUAGCUGGUCUGAGAGGACGACCAGUCACACUGGGACUGAGACACGGCCCAGACACCUACGGGUGGCAGCAGUCGAGAAUUUUUCUCAAUGGGGGAAACCCUGAAGGAGCGACGCCGCGUGGAGGAUGAAGGUCUUCGGAUUGUAAACUCCUGUCAUUUGGGAACAAGGUGUGCGCGUUCACUGCGCGCGCAUUGAUAGUACCAGAAGAGGAAGAGACGGCUAACUCUGUGCCAGCCGCCGCAGUAAUAC